RNAcentral lists this ribosomal RNA (326 nucleotides) under uncultured Acidobacteriota bacterium. RNAcentral describes it as "bacterial SSU rRNA". It matches the Rfam family "Bacterial small subunit ribosomal RNA", at positions 20 to 343 of the family's 1533-position model. Lineage: Bacteria; Pseudomonadati; Acidobacteriota. The record is from RNAcentral.
UGGCUCAGAACGAACGCUGGCGGCGUGCCUAACACAUGCAAGUCGAACGAGAAAGUGGAGCAAUCCAUGAGUAAAGUGGCGCACGGGUGAGUAACACGUGACUAACCUACCCUCGAGUGGGGAAUAACCUCGGGAAACCGGGGCUAAUACCGCAUAAUGUCUUUGGGGUGCAAUUCCCUGGGGAUCAAAGGAGCAAUUCGCUUGAGGAGGGGGUCGCGGCUGAUUAGCUAGUUGGCGGGGUAAUGGCCCACCAAGGCGAAGAUCGGUAGCCGGCCUGAGAGGGCGCACGGCCACACUGGAACUGAAACACGAUCCAGACUCCUACG